UGGUAGUGUAACGGACUACCAAGACUAUGACGGGUGACGGGAAAUCAGUGUUUGAUUCCGGAGAGGGAGCCUGAGAGAUGGCUCCCACGUCCAAGGAUGGCAGCAGGCGCGAAAAUUGUCCACUCUUUGUUGAGGAGACAGUUAUGAGGCGUGAUUGUAAGAGCGAAGAGUAAACAUCUUUGUGUAAUGCAACUAGAGGGCAAGUUUUGGUGCCAGCAGCCGCGGUAACUCCAACUCUAGAAGUGCCUAUUGUGGAUGCUGCAGUUAAAAAGUCCGUAGUCGUUGAUGCAAUUAAAAGGUGUAGAUCAAGUGCACCAAGUUUGUUAGUUGUGGCGGAGCGGACAGGGAGCAUGGUAUAGGUUGGCGAAGAAUGAAAUCUCAAGACCCAACCUGGACCAACUGAGGCGAAAGCGGUGCUCUUGUACGCGUCUGUGGAUCAAGGACGAAGGCUAGAGGAUCGAAAGUGAUUAGACACCGCUGUAGUUCUAGCAGUAAACUAUGCCGACAUUCUCUGUUGUUGAGACGGGGAGGGGAGAAAUCUUAGUUUUCGGGCUCUGGGGAUAGUACGCUUGCAAGAGUGAAACUUAAAGCGAAAUUGACGGAAGAUCACCACAAGGAGUGGAUUGUACUGCUUAAUUUGACUCAACACGGGAAAACUUACCAGGGCCAAGUCUCUCGUAGAUUGGCGACAUGAGAGGGGCAAGAGUGGUGCAUGGCCGUUGGAAAUUGAUGGGAUGACCUUUAGCUUAAGUGCUGUAACCAGUGAGAUCUUCUAGACAGGUGUCUUACUGACACAGGAAGGAGAAGGCUAUAACAGGUCCGUGAUGCCCUCAGAUGCCCUGGGCCGCAAGUGCAAUACAAUAUCCGUUUGAGCGACAUAAAUAUGCUUACGGAUGAGUAGGAUUAGCUCUUGUAAAUGAGCUAUGAAUGAGGAAUUCCUAGUAACUGUGUCUCAUCAAGGCACAGUGAAUGCGUCCCUGUUCUUUGUACA
RNAcentral lists this ribosomal RNA (991 nucleotides) under Paranucleospora theridion. RNAcentral describes it as "SSU rRNA". It matches the Rfam family "Microsporidia small subunit ribosomal RNA", at positions 185 to 1189 of the family's 1311-position model. The record is from RNAcentral. Lineage: Eukaryota; Fungi; Microsporidia; Enterocytozoonidae.